Molecule: transfer RNA, 66 nt
Filed under: Pericapritermes sp. B SH-2022a
Lineage: Eukaryota; Metazoa; Arthropoda; Insecta; Blattodea; Termitidae
Also listed under: 1 other name
Description: tRNA-Asn
Source: RNAcentral
UUAACUGAAACCAAAAAGAGGUAUAUUAUUGUUAAUAAUAAAAUUGAAUUUCAAAUUCCAGUUAAA